RNAcentral lists this transfer RNA (68 nucleotides) under Minimugil cascasia (yellowtail mullet). Its description in RNAcentral is "tRNA-Ser". The record is from RNAcentral. Lineage: Eukaryota; Metazoa; Chordata; Actinopteri; Mugiliformes; Mugilidae.
GAGAGAGGCACCGAAGCAACGGAAACUGCUAAUUUUCGUAACCUUGGUUAAAACCCAAGGCUCACUCG